This 577-nucleotide ribosomal RNA is filed under the name Carnobacterium sp. Its description in RNAcentral is "bacterial SSU rRNA". It matches the Rfam family "Bacterial small subunit ribosomal RNA", at positions 355 to 923 of the family's 1533-position model. The record is from RNAcentral. Lineage: Bacteria; Bacillati; Bacillota; Bacilli; Lactobacillales; Carnobacteriaceae.
GUAGGGAUCUUCCGCAAUGGACGAAAGUCUGACGGAGCAACGCCGCGUGAGUGAAGAAGGUUUUCGGAUCGUAAAACUCUGUUGUUAAAGAAGAACAAGGAUGAGAGUAACUGCUCAUCCCCUGACGGUAUUUAACCAGAAAGCCACGGCUAACUACGUGCCAGCAGCCGCGGUAAUACGUAGGUGGCAAGCGUUGUCCGGAUUUAUUGGGCGUAAAGCGAGCGCAGGCGGUUCUUUAAGUCUGAUGUGAAAGCCCCCGGCUCAACCGGGGAGGGUCAUUGGAAACUGGAGAACUUGAGUGCAGAAGAGGAGAGUGGAAUUCCACGUGUAGCGGUGAAAUGCGUAGAUAUGUGGAGGAACACCAGUGGCGAAGGCGACUCUCUGGUCUGUAACUGACGCUGAGGCUCGAAAGCGUGGGGAGCAAACAGGAUUAGAUACCCUGGUAGUCCACGCCGUAAACGAUGAGUGCUAAGUGUUGGAGGGUUUCCGCCCUUCAGUGCUGCAGCUAACGCAUUAAGCACUCCGCCUGGGGAGUACGGCCGCAAGGCUGAAACUCAAAGGAAUUGACGGGGGCCCC